UACGAAGGGGGCUAGCGUUGUUCGGAAUCACUGGGCGUAAAGCGCACGCAGGCGGAUUGAUAAGUCAGGGGUGAAAUCCCGGAGCUCAACUUCGGAAUUGCCUUUGAUACUGUCUAUCUUCGAGUUCGGGAGAGGUUGGCGGAAUUCCUAGUGUAGAGGUGAAAUUCGUAGAUAUUAGGAAGAACACCAGUGGCGAAGGCGGCCAACUGGCCCGAUACUGACGCUCAUGUGUGAAAGCGUGGGGAGCAAACAGG
Molecule: ribosomal RNA, 254 nt
Filed under: uncultured bacterium
Lineage: Bacteria
Description: partial 16S ribosomal RNA
Rfam family: Bacterial small subunit ribosomal RNA
Source: RNAcentral